UGCGGCAGUUGUUAAUUUAUCAACACAAAAUGGGAGUAUAGAACUAUGGGUUAGUUUAUUAAGUGGUUGUACUGGUUACAUUUUACCAAACCCUUCUAUAAAUAAAAUAUAAAUGAAAUUCACAUAAAAAGAAGGGAGGAAAAAAAGUAUUCGAGUGACCCUCCUUCUAACCACGUGACCGAAACGUUCACCAUACGUUUCGUUUAUCUCUUAAUGAAUCAUCAUGAACAAUUUAAGCUGCUACCACAACUAUAAAAGCACACAGUUAUAUCAAUGGCACAGGCA
RNAcentral lists this long non-coding RNA (285 nucleotides) under Mytilus galloprovincialis (Mediterranean mussel). Lineage: Eukaryota; Metazoa; Mollusca; Bivalvia; Mytilida; Mytilidae. The record is from RNAcentral.